RNAcentral lists this ribosomal RNA (320 nucleotides) under uncultured eukaryote. RNAcentral's name for it is "partial 18S ribosomal RNA". It matches the Rfam family "Eukaryotic small subunit ribosomal RNA", at positions 1470 to 1796 of the family's 1831-position model. The record is from RNAcentral.
CCCCUAGAUGUUCUGGGCCGCACGCGCGCUACACUGAACAGUUCAACAAGUCUUAACCUUGGCCGAUAGGUCUGGGUAAUCUUUGAACGCUGUUCGUGAUUGGGAUAGACCUUUGCAAUUAUGGGUCUUCAACGAGGAAUUCCUAGUAAACGCAAGUCAUCAGCUUGCAUUGAUUACGUCCCCGCCCUUUGUACACACCGCCCGUCGCACCUACCGAUUGAAUGGUCCGGUGAAAUCUCGGGACGGCGGCUUGGUCGCUUGCGUCCGACUGCUGAAACUUGAUUAAACCAUAUCAUUUAGAGGAAGGUGAANUCGUANCA